UACAGAGGGGGCAAGCGUUGUUCGGAAUUACUGGGCGUAAAGGGCGCGUAGGCGGCCGCCUAAGUCAGACGUGAAAUCCCUCGGCUCAACCUGGGAACUGCGUCUGAUACUGGAUGGCUUGAAUCCGGGAGAGGGAUGCAGAAUUCCAGGUGUAGCGGUGAAAUGCGUAGAUAUCUGGAGGAAUACCGGUGGCGAAGGCGGCAUCCUGGACCGGCAUUGACGCUGAGGAGCGAAAGCUAGGGGAGCAAACGGG
RNAcentral lists this ribosomal RNA (253 nucleotides) under uncultured bacterium. RNAcentral's name for it is "partial 16S ribosomal RNA". It matches the Rfam family "Bacterial small subunit ribosomal RNA", at positions 524 to 776 of the family's 1533-position model. The record is from RNAcentral.